This 253-nucleotide ribosomal RNA is filed under the name uncultured bacterium. Its description in RNAcentral is "partial 16S ribosomal RNA". It matches the Rfam family "Bacterial small subunit ribosomal RNA", at positions 524 to 776 of the family's 1533-position model. The record is from RNAcentral.
UACAGAGGUCUCAAGCGUUGUUCGGAUUCAUUGGGCGUAAAGGGUGCGUAGGCGGCGCGGUAAGUCGGGUGUGAAAUUUCGGAGCUUAACUCCGAAACUGCAUUCGAUACUGCGGUGCUUAAGGACUGGAGAGGAGACUGGAAUUCAUGGUGUAGCAGUGAAAUGCGUAGAUAUCAAGUGGAACACCAGUGGCGAAGGCGAGUCCCUGGACAACUCCUGACACUGAGGCACGAAAGCUAGGGGAGCAAACGGG